RNAcentral lists this long non-coding RNA (249 nucleotides) under Oryza sativa (Asian cultivated rice). RNAcentral's name for it is "long non-coding RNA (OSAT_LNC001130)". The record is from RNAcentral. Lineage: Eukaryota; Viridiplantae; Streptophyta; Magnoliopsida; Poales; Poaceae.
GCCCCGCGCCGCUCCAUCUCCCACCGGCGCGCGCCGUCGCCGCCGCCGCCGCCUCCGCCUCCGCCUCGCGCCGUCGCCGCCACUUCCGCCUUCGCCUCCACCUCCGCCUCGUUUCCCCAACGCGCCACGGCAAAAGCGGGGGAACCCGCGCUGGAAAACUUGAAAAACCCCAACCUAACCCCCUCCCACCCCGCCAUUCCUCACAUUUGCACCCCCAUCGCUGCGCUCUAGGUUUUUUUUUUUCCUCCG